RNAcentral lists this ribosomal RNA (502 nucleotides) under uncultured bacterium. Its description in RNAcentral is "partial 16S ribosomal RNA". It matches the Rfam family "Bacterial small subunit ribosomal RNA", at positions 30 to 523 of the family's 1533-position model. The record is from RNAcentral.
AUUGAACGCUGGCGCCAGGCUUAACACAUGCAAGUCGAGCGGGGUGAUGGUGCUUGCACUAUCACUUAGCGGCGGACGGGUGAGUAAUGCUUAGGAAUCUGCCUAUUAGUGGGGGACAACAUCUCGAAAGGGAUGCUAAUACCGCAUACGUCCUACGGGAGAAAGCAGGGGAUCACUUGUGACCUUGCGCUAAUAGAUGAGCCUAAGUCGGAUUAGCUAGUUGGUGGGGGAAAGGCCUACCAAGGCGACGAUCUGUAGCGGGUCUGAGAGGAUGGUCCGCCACACUGGGACUGAGACACGGCCAGAAUCCUACGGGAGGCGGCAGUGGGGAAUAUUGGACAAUGGGGGGAACCCUGAUCCAGCCAUGCCGCGUGUGUGAAGAAGGCCUUAUGGUUGUAAAGCACUUUAAGCGAGGAGGAGGCUCUUUUGGUUAAUACCCAAGAUGAGUGGACGUUACUCGCAGAAUAAGCACCGGCUAACUCUGUGCCAGCAGCCGCCGUAA